AAUGAACGCUGGCGGCAUGCCUAACACAUGCAAGUCGAACGAAGUCCUUCGGGGCUUCGUGGCGCACGGGUGCGUAACGCGUGGGAAUCUGCCCCUUGGUUCGGAAUAACAGUUGGAAACGACUGCUAAUACCGGAUGAUGACGUAAGUCCAAAGAUUUAUCGCCGAGGGAUGAGCCCGCGUAGGAUUAGGUAGUUGGUGUGGUAAAGGCGCACCAAGCCGACGAUCCUUAGCUGGUCUGAGAGGAUGAUCAGCCACACUGGGACUGAGACACGGCCCAGACUCCUACGGGAGGCAGCAGUGGGGAAUAUUGGACAAUGGGCGAAAGCCUGAUCCAGCAAUGCCGCGUGAGUGAUGAAGGCCUUAGGGUUGUAAAGCUCUUUUACCCGGGAUGAUAAUGACAGUACCGGGAGAAUAAGCGCCGGCUAACUCCGUG
This 435-nucleotide ribosomal RNA is filed under the name uncultured bacterium. RNAcentral's name for it is "partial 16S ribosomal RNA". It matches the Rfam family "Bacterial small subunit ribosomal RNA", at positions 29 to 507 of the family's 1533-position model. The record is from RNAcentral.